UGCUAUAAUGCAGUCGAGCGACAGAUAAGGAGCUUGCUCCUUUGACGUUAGCGGCGGACGGGUGAGUAACACGUGGAUAACCUACCUAUAAGACUGGGAUAACUUCGGGAAACCGGAGCUAAUACCGGAUAACAUAUUGAACCGCAUGGUUCAAUAGUGAAAGGCGGCUUUGCUGUCACUUAUAGAUGGAUCCGCGCCGUAUUAGCUAGUUGGUAAGGUAACGGCUUACCAAGGCAACGAUACGUAGCCGACCUGAGAGGGUGAUCGGCCACACUGGAACUGAGACACGGUCCAGACUCCUACGGGAGGCAGCAGUAGGGAAUCUUCCGCAAUGGGCGAAAGCCUGACGGAGCAACGCCGCGUGAGUGAUGAAGGUCUUCGGAUCGUAAAACUCUGUUAUCAGGGAAGAACAAAUGUGUAAGUAACUGUGCACAUCUUGACGGUACCUGAUCAGAAAGCCACGGCUAACUACGUGCCAGCAGCCGCGGUAAUACGUAGGUGGCAAGCGUUAUCCGGAAUUAUUGGGCGUAAAGCGCGCGUAGGCGGUUUUUUAAGUCUGAUGUGAAAGCCCACGGCUCAACCGUGGAGGGUCAUUGGAAACUGGAAAACUUGAGUGCAGAAGAGGAAAGUGGAAUUCCAUGUGUAGCGGUGAAAUGCGCAGAGAUAUGGAGGAACACCAGUGGCGAAGGCGACUUUCUGGUCUGUAACUGACGCUGAUGUGCGAAAGCGUGGGGAUCAAACAGGAUUAGAUACCCUGGUAGUCCACGCCGUAAACGAUGAGUGCUAAGUGUUAGGGGGUUUCCGCCCCUUAGUGCUGCAGCUAACGCAUUAAGCACUCCGCC
Molecule: ribosomal RNA, 842 nt
Filed under: Staphylococcus warneri
Lineage: Bacteria; Bacillati; Bacillota; Bacilli; Caryophanales; Staphylococcaceae
Description: bacterial SSU rRNA
Rfam family: Bacterial small subunit ribosomal RNA
Source: RNAcentral